This 281-nucleotide unclassified non-coding RNA is filed under the name Hevea brasiliensis (rubber tree). The record is from RNAcentral. Lineage: Eukaryota; Viridiplantae; Streptophyta; Magnoliopsida; Malpighiales; Euphorbiaceae.
UCGAUCGAGAUAUUCACGGAACCACUUUUACUGCCGUACGUCACCGGAAAACCUACCGGGGCGCGGAGGCGAAGAAUCAAAGAUGAGCGUGAUCGACCUUUUGACCAGAGUAGAUGCGAUUUGCCAGAAGUACGACAAAUAUGACGUUGAAAAGCAGAGAGAUCUCAAUGUUUCCGGCGACGAUGCCUUCGCUCGACUCUACGCCACUGUCGAAGCUGACAUUGAAGCCGCUCUCCAGAAAGCGGAGGAUGCUUCUAAAGAGAAGAAUAGGGCAUCGGUGG